UACGACGUCUCAUGCUAGGACGUGUCUGAGGCGUAGAUAAAAGCUACGGAAUGUGACUCUUCGGAGUGUUAUAGCCGUGGUCAAUGUUCCCACUUACGCGCGAGGAUCUCAGGUUCUACUAAAUGGUGGUCUACCACCCGUCUUGAAACACGGACCAAGGAGUA
This 164-nucleotide ribosomal RNA is filed under the name uncultured Candida. RNAcentral describes it as "partial 26S rRNA". Lineage: Eukaryota; Fungi; Ascomycota; Saccharomycetes; Saccharomycetales. The record is from RNAcentral.